This 1134-nucleotide long non-coding RNA is filed under the name Lynx pardinus (Iberian lynx). Lineage: Eukaryota; Metazoa; Chordata; Mammalia; Carnivora; Felidae. The record is from RNAcentral.
UGAAGCCCAGUUCAAGGCCCAGGAACAAAGUGGGGAAGUAACUGAUCUGUCUUUUGGUCUCUCCCCUCCCUUUCACCCCCUGCCUUGUAGGUCUUCCUCUUUGAUAAAUAGAGGAAAGCCGGUGGGAUCAGGUACAUAUAUAAAUAGUGUUGACCUCCUCGGCCCCUCCUCAUUGAAAAGCAGAAAGCCCAUUACAGGGGCAGGUUGCUCAGUGCCUUUGAGUAUCCACCAUUACCACCCCGUGGACUUUACUGGACCCCAGACUACUUACUUGGCAUCCCUGUCUUGUUGAAAACAUCCAGGACAACUAUUAAAUAGUUCUCAGAAGAAUUAAAGACAUUCUUCAGGUCUGAAACAUUUUUAAAGCCCUGGAUGAAAUCUUCAAGGAGCACAAAGUAUAAUCGGUGGGACCACCUGAGGAAGUCUGAAAGCUUUGUCCCCCACCCCUCCCCAAAGUUAAUCAAAGAUACUGUAGACGUCAUUGUGCUCACUAAGGGGUUUUUCCGCAUUGUAACCUACAGAUUGUCCAGACCAAGCUACCAAGACAUUUAUUUUCAUUUUGUUAGUUUCUGGGCACUACACUUUCUGAUUAGACUUGUUUAUUUUUAAAAACUCUGCUGGAGAGUUUCCAACCUUGGAGGUGCAAAUGAAAACGACUCUCCCUCCCAGGUUCUUACAGGGUGGGGGAGGAGCACAAACCCGUCUGGUCCCAACUCAGACCUGGAGGUUGCCCGUCUGAACCUGGGUGGAGUGAGGGUAGCUGGUUCGGGCACCUUGUAUUUCAGUGCUGGCACAAAGCGAGCUCUUUGAAAUGAAUAUCUAUUCUAUUUCAGUGUGCAAUGUUCCAGCCGACUAAAUGGGCUUGCCUUCUGCCGAGAGGCAGUCCUGGAGGACACAACUAAUGUGCAAUCUCCCAGGCAGCUCUUCAUCAGAACAUCCCUUGUCCUUUUGUUUUUGUUUUCGUAUUAAAAGAUGUUUUUGCUUUCCUCUCAGUGUCCGUCCUGUUAUUUUGUAGCUACAACAAUGAAACAGGAACAGUUUAUCAUUCUUUUUUGUCCUUUGUAACCAUGCCUUGUAUUGGGAUGUCACAAAGCCCCAGAUACACCUCAGCGUGCCCUGUGCUUUUGAUGUUUA